CUGCAUGUUAAAAGAAAAUACAGUUCUGCUCCUCAUCCCCGUGAGAAGCAUGAAUACCUGUAUAACAUGCUACAGAAACAAGGAGUUUUCAGGGCUGCCAGUCUUAAAGUAAAGACUGAGUGGUAGUAUAGGUCUCCUACAUCU
Molecule: small nucleolar RNA, 144 nt
Organism: Cuculus canorus (common cuckoo)
Lineage: Eukaryota; Metazoa; Chordata; Aves; Cuculiformes; Cuculidae
Product: small nucleolar RNA U109
Exons: 1
Source: RefSeq, a predicted model, not a curated record